UCCCUUCUGGCUCAGCUGGUAAAGAAUCCACCUGCAAUGUGGGAGACCGGGGUUCAAUCCCUGGGUUGGAA
This 71-nucleotide transfer RNA is filed under the name Ovis aries (sheep). It matches the Rfam family "tRNA". Rfam says of the family: Transfer RNA (tRNA) molecules are approximately 80 nucleotides in length. Their secondary structure includes four short double-helical elements and three loops (D, anti-codon, and T loops). Further hydrogen bonds mediate the characteristic L-shaped molecular structure. tRNAs have two regions of fundamental functional importance: the anti-codon, which is responsible for specific mRNA codon recognition, and the 3' end, to which the tRNAs corresponding amino acid is attached (by aminoacyl-tRNA synthetases). tRNAs cope with the degeneracy of the genetic code in two manners: having more than one tRNA (with a specific anti-codon) for a particular amino acid; and 'wobble' base-pairing, i.e. permitting non-standard base-pairing at the 3rd anti-codon position. The record is from Rfam by way of RNAcentral. Lineage: Eukaryota; Metazoa; Chordata; Mammalia; Artiodactyla; Bovidae.